ACUCAUGUAACUCAAGGGUUAUGUGGUGCGGCCAUUAAAUUAUGGUCAGCUUGUUUGUCCAGCGUAAGCAAAUACAUUAAGAGGUCUGUCACUGUGGGAGUAGCGCGAUCGCGAAAACAACAUACAGC
RNAcentral lists this non-coding RNA (128 nucleotides) under unclassified sequences. Its description in RNAcentral is "Bacteriophage Diversity-Generating Retroelement RNA". It matches the Rfam family "Bacteriophage Diversity-Generating Retroelement RNA". The record is from Rfam by way of RNAcentral.